Non-coding RNA from Aegilops tauschii subsp. strangulata, 2386 nucleotides. Lineage: Eukaryota; Viridiplantae; Streptophyta; Magnoliopsida; Poales; Poaceae. The record is from RefSeq and is a predicted model, not a curated record.
AAAAGGGAAGGCGAGCCACCUCCGCCCUCCCCUCGCCCCCGCGCUGGUCCCACCGCCGAGCCUAGUUCCCCUCACUUCUCCGUGCAGGCGCCGUCACCAUCAAUCGAUCUCCUGAGCAAGCGACCUCCCUCCCCGAUCUACUCGUUGGCUAUGGCGGACGAGCCGGAGGGGCGAGGGGCGGGGGAGCGUGGACGCCAACUGGCGCCCCACCCAAGACUCAGAUCCCGCCACCGCAGCCGCCGGAGGCGGGGUUGACCCGAACGCACCGGCGCCCCACCGCCGGAGGCGACUGGCGCUCCGGGCUCCAUCCCGACGCCCGCGCCAGGAUCGUCAGUAAGAUAUCCAGUCGCACUCCUCAUCCAGCUCCAUGUCUCCUGGUGCGGCAGCACAGUGGGAGGAUGUGAACGCGCGGCCGCCCAGGGGUGGUGGUGGUGGUGACCUGCCUGCUCGUCCCUCGUCCUCAUCACCGGCCUCUCCGAGGUCGCUGCUAGGGCAAUCUCCAUGGGCCCUUGAGGAUGGAGUAGGACGAUGAGCAGCAGCAAAUGAGCCUGAUGGUGAAGAAGCACCUGAUGACCAGAACUCAUUCAAGAGCUCUUUUGUCCUUCCAAAACAGGGUCUUGAUGUCCCCCUUACAGAAAAAUGAUGCUGCGCUCGCUACUUACAUGUUUUCUGAUGCCGCAACAAAGGACUAUAUGUGGUUUCUUCAGUGGGACUGUUGCUAUCACUCCUCAUGUUCAAUAACAUUUCAGCAUUGGACCUGCUAGUCACCCAAGCCAAGCCUCGCAUCGCUUCAACAAAGCGAUACUUCUUCCAAUCAACCCCUACUUCGGCUCUGGUCUUUUUUCCAUCUUCUCUUAUUUAAGCUAAGAAAGAUUCUGAGUUUGCAUCCAUCUCAUUACACUAGCUAGAACAAUAUAUUAGUUAAGGCAACUCUACUACAUAUCAAUUUCCCCUACUGGAUUGGUUCUAUAUUUUUAAAGUUCUUUCGUGGUGCAUGAGCCCAACCUAAAGAAAUAUAGGCUUAUGAUGACUAUUUUCCUUCUUAAGUAAUCAUAGUUGUUGGCUUCGGUAGCUUGCUGAAUAUGCUUUAGUUAUAUAUAGAAAUGACGUGCCUUCUAUGCUUAAAUGAUUAUUUGGCUCUAUAUAAUUGUUGACAUGAAUAUCUUGACUUCCCAAACAAGUAUAGGACUGUACCUAUGCAUACAGAUUGUCCUAACAAAACUGAAAAUAAAAAUUGAAGCAUGAAAUAAGCAAUAAGUGGCUGAUUUUUAUUUGCAUGUUAAGCAGAAAGUUGUAGCCAAGGCUUAUAUAUUACGAAAUAUUGUCACACCUCUGAGCUUCUACUGUUGUUAGGGACAUCGUAGUGUGAUCUUCAUCAUUUUUCGCUUGAAGAUGUACUGAUUCAUUAGUCAAGCAGAGACCGAAGUCAUCUUUUGCUACUGCUAGCUCUAUGGAUGUUUAUUUACCUGCAACUUCUGCCAGCACUAACUUGGUUAUAUAGCAGUUCAAUUCAGUCAACCUGUUGGAACUAGUUUGUUGAUUACUUGUAUCCAGAUUUUAUAUCCUGCCCUAUGCCAUUGUCGACUUGCUUAGGUACAUAAUUGUUAUGUCUUGCAAUCUGGUAUUGAUGAUUGUCAAUGUAUUCAUUUAUACCUUUCUAGUGUACCUUGUAUGUUACCCAGCUGAUCUGUAUAUCAAUGCUCUGUUUCCAAUAGAUGUAUGCUGAUGCCUGAUGGCUGAUUUCUUAAAACUUCACUGUUGCAGUAGCAUUUUUCCUUAGUGCAUAGAUGUAUGAGCGACCAUUUAUGCUUGAAACCUUGCUCUCUUUCCCAGGAACCAUCGUGGUCUGCGUCACUACUGGGGCAGGAGAGGAAAGACUGUUGGUGUCUCCAGGAAGCGAUAAACUGCUUCACAAAGAUCCCCGCAUAGCUUCACUACUACUGUGUUGGUCCAUUUCCAGAAUCGUAAGGAGUGUUCUUGUUUAUACGAUUACCUUGGAUGAUGCUUUUGCUUAAGGAGAGGCUCAAGAAGAUCAAGGAGCUCCGCAUCCGAGUUUCAGCCAUCCUCUACAGCAAGGAGCUCUGGGCCAAAGGAGCAAGCAGCGCUGCUAGUUCCUUAAUGCCAGAUCGAGUAAGAUGGUGCACCAUGGCGUGUGGUGGCGUAUUUUGCUUCCGAGAACAGUACUGUUUAUUUGAAGUGAGAUGUACUCGUCUAGUGCCUGGCAAAAAAAUGAAGGAUGAAGUGUCAUGUACUGUCUAUGUUGUAGUGAGCUGUAGUAGGAGUGAAAUGAAAAUGUAUCUGCUGUUGUAUGUGCCAUUUCGCUGUAAUGUAUUGUGUACAUUUUACUUGAACAUUAACUUCUCCAGAAAAAAUGUUCUUACUGGAC